RNAcentral lists this transfer RNA (69 nucleotides) under Symphurus plagiusa (blackcheek tonguefish). Its description in RNAcentral is "tRNA-Pro". It matches the Rfam family "tRNA". Rfam says of the family: Transfer RNA (tRNA) molecules are approximately 80 nucleotides in length. Their secondary structure includes four short double-helical elements and three loops (D, anti-codon, and T loops). The record is from RNAcentral. RNAcentral also lists the same sequence under 1 other name. Lineage: Eukaryota; Metazoa; Chordata; Actinopteri; Pleuronectiformes; Cynoglossidae.
CAAGAGAUAGUUUAAUCAGAAUACUGGCUUUGGGAGCCAGCGGUGGGAGUUUAAUUCUCCCUUUUUUGA